RNAcentral lists this non-coding RNA (29 nucleotides) under Cricetulus griseus (Chinese hamster). The record is from RNAcentral. Lineage: Eukaryota; Metazoa; Chordata; Mammalia; Rodentia; Cricetidae.
CCGGAAGAGAAGGAACAGAAGAAAGGGAA